AGCGAACGCUGGCGGCAGGCCUAACACAUGCAAGUCGAACGAACCUUUCGGGGUUAGUGGCGGACGGGUGCGUAACACGUGGGAACGUGCCUUUAGGUUCGGAAUAACUCAGGGAAACUUGUGCUAAUACCGAAUGUGCCCUCCGGGGGAAAGAUUAAUCGCCUUUAGAGCGGCCCGCGUCUGAUUAGCUAGUUGGUUGAGGUAAUGGCUCACCAAGGCGACGAUCAGUAGCUGGUCUGAGAGGAUGAUCAGCCACAUUGGGACUGAGACACGGCCCAAACUCCUACGGGAGGCAGCAGUGGGGAAUCUUGCGCAAUGGGCGAAAGCCUGACGCAGCCAUGCCGCGUGAAUGAUGAAGGUCUUAGGAUUGUAAAAUUCUUUCACCGGGGACGAUAAUGACGGUACCCGGAGAAGAAGCCCCGGCUAACUUCGUG
Molecule: ribosomal RNA, 434 nt
Filed under: uncultured bacterium
Lineage: Bacteria
Description: partial 16S ribosomal RNA
Rfam family: Bacterial small subunit ribosomal RNA
Source: RNAcentral